This 415-nucleotide unclassified non-coding RNA is filed under the name Hevea brasiliensis (rubber tree). Lineage: Eukaryota; Viridiplantae; Streptophyta; Magnoliopsida; Malpighiales; Euphorbiaceae. The record is from RNAcentral.
AGCAUUAGCCAUGGAAAGCACACCAGGACCAGUGUGCUUCUUCACGAAGUUCUCGUCCGCGAAUUUCGCUCCGUAGAUCGACUCGCCUCCGGUGCCAUUUCCGGCGGUGAAGUCUCCUCCCUGGCACAUGAAGCCGGGGAUCACACGGUGGAAGGAAGAGCCCUUGUAGUGGAGGGGCUUCCCGCUCUUGCCAAUGCCUUUCUCUCCGGUGCAAAGAGCACGGAAGUUGUCAGCGGUGCGAGGAACGACAUCGGCGUAUAGCUCUAUCACGAUCCUGCCAGCAGGCUGACCGCCGACGGUCAUAUCAAAGAAAACCUUUGGGUUCGCCAUAGAAAGAUAAUAGUAAUGAAGAAAAUUAGGAACUCUUUCAGGAUGAAUAUUACCGGUUAGGGUUUUUUGUUGGAGCCGGUCCGGG